GAUGAAGAACGUAGUGAAAUGCGAUAAGUAAUGUGAAUUGCAGAAUUCAGUGAAUCAUCGAAUCUUUGAACGCACAUUGCGCCCAUUAGUAUUCUAGUGGACAUGCCUGUUCGAGCGUCAUUAAGUCCACUUAAGCCCUGCUUAGUGUUGGGAGACUGCUCCAGCGGUGCUACCCUGUAGCUACCCUGCAGCUCCUCAAAGACAGCGGCGGAGUUGUGGUAUCCUCUGAGCUUAGUAACUUGUUCUAGCUUUCGAGUACACCACUUCCCCUGCCGUAAAACCCUUAAUUUUUAAUGGUUGACCUCGGAUCAGGUAGGAAUACCCGCUGAACUUAAGCAUAUCAAUAAGCGGAGGA
This 355-nucleotide unclassified non-coding RNA is filed under the name soil metagenome. RNAcentral describes it as "partial contains 5.8S ribosomal RNA, internal transcribed spacer 2, and large subunit ribosomal RNA". The stretch from base 1 to 120 matches the Rfam family "5.8S ribosomal RNA", at positions 35 to 154 of the family's 154-position model. The record is from RNAcentral.